AGACAGGAAAAACACCCAAAAGGUAAAGGCCAGGCUGGUUCAUGCCGGACACCUAACCCCCUGCUACCACAUGCUGUUUUCCACACUGGGUGCUGGCCUGUGGGAACCUGCACAAGUCGGGGGCAACAUGGUCCCAGGAAGUCUUUGACAGGCUGCCCCCUGCUGGCUGCUGCGGGAACCACAUGGCAGAUGGCUCCUGGUGUCCCCUGGAAGUCAGGUCUUGCUCUGUCACCCAGGCUGGAGUGUGUGGUGCGAUCAUGCCUCACAGCAGCCUUGACAUCCCCAGGCUCAGAUGAUCCUCCCACCUCAGCCUCCUGAGUAGCCGCGACUACAGGCGCAUGCCACCACACCCAGGCAACAUCUCCAGCAUGAAGCCCACUGGCCUCAUGUCUGUACUUCUGGAGUCCAGCUCUGCUUUUGUGAUACCAGCGACAGAACUCUGCAAACAUCUCUGCUUCGCAGCUGGCAUCCUGUUGGAUUUUUCCAGUAGAGGGAAGCUUCCAUGCUGCAGGAAGAAGGGGCGUGCUCCUUCCCGUUCCUGUCAGCACUGCUGCAGCAGUUUGCUCUCACAGCUGCAUGUGAUCCCAGCUGCCAUUUCUGACCUGCUCAGAACCAGCUUCAUGAUGGGCUCAAAGACCCAGGACCAGGUGCUCUUGUGACUUCUCUGACUUCAGUCCUUCUGGAGUCAGAUCACCCAGCUUCUCUGAUGAGUGACUGGUCAUUUUUAAAGCAUGCCUGCAGCAGUCUUCAAGAGGUUUCUGCCUGGGCAUCACAAUCAGCACACAUUUGCUCAUACACAUACCAGCUCUGGCAUGUACACGUGGCCACGGUACCCUUCGUACAACACGGGAAGAGAACAACAGGACGCCCAAGAGGCAUCUGGACAGCACACAGCAAACAGAAAGGCUGAACGCCCCCCCAUGGAACCCCAUUAAAAAACAAUGUUUGUCUAUUACAAAGUCACGUUUUCCGUUUUUCCGCUUUAUAAAGUCAGCGAUGCUGGAGGGUGUCUAGCGGAAUCCGUCCUCCAGGAAUGAGUGCAAAAGGAGAGCGCACGGCUCAGGGACGUCCCUUCAGUGAGCAAUGGAAGGACUGGCUGGAGGCCUCCCAUCCAUUUCGGACAAACACACACAUACAGAAAAGGAUUAUUGCCAGCUUGUGU
Long non-coding RNA from Homo sapiens (human), 1162 nucleotides. The record is from Ensembl. NCBI's taxonomy places the organism in Eukaryota, Metazoa, Chordata, Mammalia, Primates, Hominidae.